CUGACAGCCCCCGAGAGUGAACUCUUUUAUUUAUCCACAAAAGAGGCACAGCUUAGCCAGGGGCAGUGCAAGCUUCCUCCCAUGGUGCCUUGCCAAUGUUGUUCCAGACUUGACUUAGCAUGGAGCUCUCUCUAGGGAUGAAAGUCUCUCCAGGCCUGUUCAGUCCUCAAACUCC
Molecule: small RNA, 175 nt
Filed under: Chelonoidis abingdonii (Abingdon island giant tortoise)
Lineage: Eukaryota; Metazoa; Chordata; Testudines; Testudinidae
Description: TUC338 (ENSCABG00000004268.1)
Source: RNAcentral